UACGACGGGGGCUAGCGUUGCUCGGAAUCACUGGGCGUAAAGCGCACGUAGGCGGAUCGUUAAGUCGGAGGUGAAAUCCUGGAGCUCAACUCCAGAACUGCCUUCGAUACUGGCGAUCUUGGAGUCCGGGAGAGGUGAGUGGAACUCCGAGUGUAGAGGUGAAAUUCGUAGAUAUUCGGAAGAACACCAGUGGCGAAGGCGGCUCACUGGCCCGGUACUGACGCUGAGGUGCGAAAGCGUGGGGAGCAAACAGG
RNAcentral lists this ribosomal RNA (254 nucleotides) under uncultured bacterium. Its description in RNAcentral is "partial 16S ribosomal RNA". It matches the Rfam family "Bacterial small subunit ribosomal RNA", at positions 524 to 776 of the family's 1533-position model. The record is from RNAcentral.